AGUGAACGCUGGCGGUAGGCCUAACAUAUGCAAGUCGACCGGCAGCACAGUAAGAGCUUGUUCUUACGGGUGGCGAGUGGCGGACGGGUGAGGAAUACAUCGGAAUCUACUUUUUCGUGGGGGAUAACGUAGGGAAACUUACGCUAAUACCGCAUACGACCUACGGGUGAAAGCAUGGGAACUUCGGACCUUGCGCGAUUGAAUGAGCCGAUGUCGGAUUAGCUAGGUGGCGGGGUAAGGGCCCACCAAGGCGACGUUCCGUAUAUGGUCUGAGAGGAUGAUCAGCCACACUGGAAGUGAGACACGGUCCAGACUCCUACGGGAGGCAGCAGUGGAGAAUAUUGGUCAACGGACGCAGACCGGAUCCAGCCAUACCGCUUGAGUGUAGAAGGCCUCCGGGUUGUAGAGCCCGUUUGUUGGGAAAGAAAAGCAGCGGGUUAAUAACGCGCUGUUCUGACCGUACCCAAAGAGUAAGCACCGGCUAACUUCGUG
This 492-nucleotide ribosomal RNA is filed under the name uncultured bacterium. RNAcentral describes it as "partial 16S ribosomal RNA". It matches the Rfam family "Bacterial small subunit ribosomal RNA", at positions 29 to 507 of the family's 1533-position model. The record is from RNAcentral.